Molecule: ribosomal RNA, 468 nt
Filed under: uncultured bacterium
Lineage: Bacteria
Description: bacterial SSU rRNA
Rfam family: Bacterial small subunit ribosomal RNA
Source: RNAcentral
GACGAACGCUGGCGGCGUGCCUAAUACAUGCAAGUCGAACGAGAUCCAAGGGAGCUUGCUCCCUGAAGAUCGAGUGGCGAACGGGUGAGUAACACGUGAGAAACCUGUCCCGGACUCUGGGAUAACUCGGGGAAACCCGAGCUAAUACCGGAUACCCCCGGUGGAUCGCAUGAUCCGCCGAGGAAAGUUUUUCGGUCUGGGAGGGUCUCGCGGCCUAUCAGCUUGUUGGUGAGGUAACGGCUCACCAAGGCAACGACGGGUAGCUGGUCUGAGAGGACGAUCAGCCACACUGGGACUGAGACACGGCCCAGACUCCUACGGGAGGCAGCAGUAGGGAAUCUUGCGCAAUGGGCGAAAGACCUGACGCAGCAACGCCGCGUGCGGGAAGACGGCCCUCCGGGUUGUAAACCGCUUUCAGCAGGGACGAAAUUGACGGUACCUGCAGAAGAAGGUCCGGCUAACUACGUG